This is a non-coding RNA of Mycena leptocephala, 96 nucleotides long. Lineage: Eukaryota; Fungi; Basidiomycota; Agaricomycetes; Agaricales; Mycenaceae. The record is from the annotation of a GenBank genome assembly.
GCCUUCGUGGAUCAGUGCUAGAUUGCCCUGGCAAGCUAUGACGAGACUGUAACUGUUGUUAACAGGGAGCUGUGGGUUCGAAUCCCACUAGAGGCA